Molecule: long non-coding RNA, 792 nt
Organism: Neopsephotus bourkii (Bourke's parrot)
Lineage: Eukaryota; Metazoa; Chordata; Aves; Psittaciformes; Psittacidae
Exons: 3
Source: RefSeq, a predicted model, not a curated record
AGAAAGACUGAUGCAGAGCGAGAAGCAAGAACGUCAAGUCACCAGUGAAGGUAAAAGCACAAGAUGUGAUAUUGUUAGCAUUCUUAGAAGAGUUUUCUCCCAGAUCAUCAGUUUGCAACAUAUACAAAACCUUGUUCACACUGAAAUAAACUGAAUAUUCACACUGCUGUUAUGAUGGUCAGCAAUCAUUUGUGUUCACACUGAUCCUGAUCUGCUGCAGAAAAGCACCUUAGGAAGCGAGUGGGAAGAUGAGAGUGCGAAAUAUUUGGAAGAUGAAUAACUGAGCAUGAAAAAAGUGUCUUGGAGAGUAAUAGUUCUUCCCUCCUCCUGAAAUGUGUUUCCCAUGACCAGCAAAAAAAAUGACAAGCUAUGAUUCCUCUAUGUUUCAUCAACAAGACUUGGACAUUUUGUUAUAGGCUGCAUUAUUAGAAAAGACGUUAUUUAGAUUUUUCAGCAGAUUUCUAGUAAAAAUAGAAUAAAAAUCUAAUCAACAAAUCUUGAGAGUUACCAUGAAAUAGAGCCCCCUUCUGUUUCACUGCACAGGAAGUACAGUGAAAGUGCAGGAGUUUUUUUGUUUUCUUUUGCUGCCUUGCUUUAACCAGUUUUGCUUUUCAUUACUUAAUACACAGUUUUUACUAUGCAAAGCAGAAUGUAUUUCUAAUUACUUUAUCUUGGUAUAAUCACGUAAAAAGUCAUAAACACAUUAUCAUCUUUAAAUUUGUUUGUUAUAAUCUGUUUGUUAAAGCAAGUUGUUAACAACCUAGUUGUUAAAAUGCACAAUAUCAUUUCCUU